Trichobilharzia regenti is the source of this 46-nucleotide non-coding RNA. The record is from Rfam. NCBI's taxonomy places the organism in Eukaryota, Metazoa, Platyhelminthes, Trematoda, Strigeidida, Schistosomatidae.
GUACUGCUGAAGAGUCCCAAGCUAGAACGAAACAGCUGUCCAGUAC